RNAcentral lists this small nuclear RNA (164 nucleotides) under Saimiri boliviensis boliviensis (Bolivian squirrel monkey). RNAcentral describes it as "U1 spliceosomal RNA (ENSSBOG00000015202.1)". It matches the Rfam family "U1 spliceosomal RNA". From Rfam's summary of the family: U1 is a small nuclear RNA (snRNA) component of the spliceosome (involved in pre-mRNA splicing). Its 5' end forms complementary base pairs with the 5' splice junction, thus defining the 5' donor site of an intron. The record is from Rfam by way of RNAcentral. Lineage: Eukaryota; Metazoa; Chordata; Mammalia; Primates; Cebidae.
AUACUUACCUGGCAGGGGAGAUACCAUGAUCACGAAGGUGGUUUUCCCAGGGCGAGGCUUAUCGAUUGCACUCCGGAUGUGCUAACACCUGAGAUUUCCCCAAAUGCGGGAAACUCGACUGCAUAAUUUGUGGUAGUGGGGGACUGUGUUUGCACUCUCCCCUG